RNAcentral lists this ribosomal RNA (465 nucleotides) under uncultured bacterium. RNAcentral describes it as "partial 16S ribosomal RNA". It matches the Rfam family "Bacterial small subunit ribosomal RNA", at positions 28 to 507 of the family's 1533-position model. The record is from RNAcentral.
GACGAACGCUGGCGGCGUGCUUAACACAUGCAAGUCGAACGGAAAGGCCCUGCUUGCAGGGUACUCGAGUGGCGAACGGGUGAGUAACACGUGGGUGAUCUGCCCUGCACUUCGGGAUAAGCCUGGGAAACUGGGUCUAAUACCGGAUAGGAGCCAUUUUUAGUGUGAUGGUUGGAAAGUUUUUUCGGUGUAGGAUGAGCUCGCGGCCUAUCAGCUUGUUGGUGGGGUAAUGGCCUACCAAGGCGGCGACGGGUAGCCGGCCUGAGAGGGUGGACGGCCACAUUGGGACUGAGAGACGGCCCAGACUCCUACGGGAGGCAGCAGUGGGGAAUAUUGCACAAUGGGGGCAAGCCUGAUGCAGCGACGCCGCGUGGGUGAUGACGGCCUUCGGGUUGUAAACUCCUUUCGCUAGGGACGAAGCUUUUUGUGACGGUACCUAGAUAAGAAGCACCGGCUAACUACGUG